CACGUAGGGUGCAAGCGUUAAUCGGAAUUACUGGGCGUAAAGCGUGCGCAGGCGGUGAUGUAAGACAGAUGUGAAAUCCCCGGGCUCAACCUGGGAACUGCAUUUGUGACUGCAUCGCUGGAGUGCGGCAGAGGGGGAUGGAAUUCCGCGUGUAGCAGUGAAAUGCGUAGAUAUGCGGAGGAACACCGAUGGCGAAGGCAGCAGACUGGAGCACUCCUGACACUGAAACAAGAAAGCGUGGGUAGCGAAUGGG
This 253-nucleotide ribosomal RNA is filed under the name uncultured bacterium. Its description in RNAcentral is "partial 16S ribosomal RNA". It matches the Rfam family "Bacterial small subunit ribosomal RNA", at positions 524 to 776 of the family's 1533-position model. The record is from RNAcentral.